This 253-nucleotide ribosomal RNA is filed under the name uncultured bacterium. Its description in RNAcentral is "partial 16S ribosomal RNA". It matches the Rfam family "Bacterial small subunit ribosomal RNA", at positions 524 to 776 of the family's 1533-position model. The record is from RNAcentral.
UACAGAGGGUGCAAGCGUUGCUCGGAAUUAUUGGGCGUAAAGGGGAGGUAGGUGGUCUCAUUUGUCUGAUGUGAAAGCCUUGGGCUUAACCCAAGAAGUGCGUCAGAAACGGUGAGACUGGAGUCUUGGAGAGGGUCGUGGAAUUCCCGGUGUAGCGGUGAAAUGCGUAGAGAUCGGGAGGAACACCAGAGGCGAAGGCGGCGACCUGGACAAGUACUGACACUCAACUCCGAAAGCGUGGGGAGCAAACAGG